Molecule: long non-coding RNA, 1165 nt
Filed under: Lytechinus variegatus (green sea urchin)
Lineage: Eukaryota; Metazoa; Echinodermata; Echinoidea; Temnopleuroida; Toxopneustidae
Description: uncharacterized LOC121410239, transcript variant X1
Source: RNAcentral
ACAUAAUUGCAAAAUUAAAAGGAAGUGCUCUAUUGUGAUGGAGAAGGGUUCAUCCAAACUUGUCUUAAAAACUCCAGAAUGUCACAGCAACAGAAGAAGAAAAUGAGGAAACCGAAUAAGACCAGCGAUGAAAAAGAAGAUGAAGCAGGUAUAGAUGAUGCACUAUUGGAAGAGACUGGUGCAAAGGAAAUGGUUGAAUGGAUGAAGCAUGCCAGCCCAACCAAAGAAAACUUACCAGCAAUAAGAGAAUACUUUCAGCGAACUUAUGAGUAUCGGCAGGCACAGGUCAAAGGGGAACUCUCUGUUAUCGAGCUCAUAGACCUGUAUCCAUGAUACGAGGAUUUAUCCAACUUGAUCAGUGUUGAAUUUGCACUUAUGUUUCCUGAGGAGUCUGGGAAUUUUCUGAAAAAAUGGGGGACUACCUUCAGGGAGAACAUCAUCACCUCUGCCAAGGAGGAUUAUGCUACAAUACAACAGGUCAUGAAAGAUGAAGUUUCUGACAGAAGGAACUGAUUUGAGGAUGACCACUGGAAACUGAGAAAAUGUUCAGCCAACCUUUCCUUUUGAAGAAGAGCAAGCGACACUACUUGGUGUUGGACCAAAAAGUCCUUGUGGCAGGUGAUAUACCUUUGUUGAUAGAUUUGACAGGCUCUUCAAAGCCCAUUACUGUUUCGAUGUCCACUUUGCCCAAGUUUUGGCACCAUUUUAUGGAUAUUUAGCAGCCUGCGUAUAUGGGGUGUUGCACCCAUCCAAGGUGAGACCUGCAGUGCGCUCAAUUGCAUCAGUUAUUAUGUCUGAUCAGUAAUCCGUACAAACUGAACCCUCUUCGUGUUAGACCAAAAUGUUAUACUUUGAUCAUCACUAAAUAGGCAGGCCAAUUCACAUCGUGAAUUGAUAUAGAAAAGUACUGAACACAGCAGAACUGCAGCAGACGCAGCUUCUGUCUUACAUUUGACACGCGCAUCCGUAUCUAUGAUGUGCGUGUGAGUGGGAUUACCUUGCGCGCAGAUGAAGAAAAGCCUUACAUUUCCUGCCUGUUUAGUGAUAAUCAAAGUUGAGUGGCAGGUGAUGGCUGUGUCAAAUUAUUUGACAGGCUAUUAGAAGCCCAUUUUGUUGUUUUAAAGGGAUGGUCUGGGUUAAAAAUAUUUAUACAUGUAUCUGAAUA